GUGCCAUCCUGCAUUGUCCAACCUUCUUCGGGCAUCUUCUGUGCUUUGGCAACAAGGGCGUUGAUCCGCACCUUGAAUUCCUCGUAUUCUCUCUUCAUUGCUCGGCGCUCUUUAACAAAAGAAGGUUUUAUCUUGUCCUUCAAAUAAUCAAUCUUUUGUGCAAAAUAAAACUCAGGUGCCCUAGGCUCAAUAUUGUGCUUCUUGCA
Molecule: unclassified non-coding RNA, 206 nt
Filed under: Hevea brasiliensis (rubber tree)
Lineage: Eukaryota; Viridiplantae; Streptophyta; Magnoliopsida; Malpighiales; Euphorbiaceae
Source: RNAcentral